GACGAACGCUGGCGGCGUGCCUAAUACAUGCAAGUUGAGCGAUGAAGAUUGGUGCUUGCACCAAUUUGAAGAGCAGCGAACGGGUGAGUAACGCGUGGGGAAUCUGCCUUUGAGCGGGGGACAACAUUUGGAAACGAAUGCUAAUACCGCAUAACAACUUUAAACAUAAGUUUUAAGUUUGAAAGAUGCAAUUGCAUCACUCAAAGAUGAUCCCGCGUUGUAUUAGCUAGUUUGUGAGGUAAAGGCUCACCAAGGCGAUGAUACAUAGCCGACCUGAGAGGGUGAUCGGCCACAUUGGGACUGAGACACGGCCCAAACUCCUACGGGAGGCAGCAGUAGGGAAUCUUCGGCAAUGGACGAAAGUCUGACCGAGCAACGCCGCGUGAGUGAAGAAGGUUUUCGGAUCGUAAAACUCUGUUGGUAGAGAAGAACGUUGGUGAGAGUGGAAAGCUCAUCAAGUGACGGUAACUACCCAGAAAGGGACGGCUAACUACGUG
Molecule: ribosomal RNA, 497 nt
Filed under: uncultured bacterium
Lineage: Bacteria
Description: partial 16S ribosomal RNA
Rfam family: Bacterial small subunit ribosomal RNA
Source: RNAcentral